UACGGAGGGUGCAAGCGUUAUCCGGAUUCACUGGGUUUAAAGGGUGCGUAGGUGGGCAGGUAAGUCAGUGGUGAAAUCUCCGAGCUUAACUUGGAAACUGCCGUUGAUACUAUCUGCCUUGAAUAUUGUGGAGGUGAGCGGAAUAUGUCAUGUAGCGGUGAAAUGCUUAGAUAUGACAUAGAACACCAAUUGCGAAGGCAGCUCGCUACACAUAUAUUGACUCUGAGGCACGAAAGCGUGGGGAUCAAACAGG
RNAcentral lists this ribosomal RNA (253 nucleotides) under uncultured bacterium. RNAcentral describes it as "partial 16S ribosomal RNA". It matches the Rfam family "Bacterial small subunit ribosomal RNA", at positions 524 to 776 of the family's 1533-position model. The record is from RNAcentral.